This 435-nucleotide ribosomal RNA is filed under the name uncultured bacterium. Its description in RNAcentral is "partial 16S ribosomal RNA". It matches the Rfam family "Bacterial small subunit ribosomal RNA", at positions 29 to 507 of the family's 1533-position model. The record is from RNAcentral.
ACGAACGCUGGCGGCAUGCCUCACACAUGCAAGUCGAACGAGAUCCUUCGGGGUCUAGUGGCGCACGGGUGCGUAACGCGUGGGAAUCUGCCCUUAGGUUCGGAAUAACAGUUAGAAAUGACUGCUAAUACCGGAUGAUGACGUUAAGUCCAAAGAUUUAUCGCCUGAGGAUGAGCCCGCGUAGGAUUAGCUAGUUGGUGUGGUAAAGGCGCACCAAGGCGACGAUCCUUAGCUGGUCUGAGAGGAUGAUCAGCCACACUGGGACUGAGACACGGCCCAGACUCCUACGGGAGGCAGCAGUGGGGAAUAUUGGACAAUGGGCGCAAGCCUGAUCCAGCAAUGCCGCGUGAGUGAUGAAGGCCUUAGGGUUGUAAAGCUCUUUUACCCGAGAUGAUAAUGACAGUAUCGGGAGAAUAAGCCCCGGCUAACUCCGUG